UUGAGAGUUUGAUCCUGGCUCAGGAUGAACGCUGGCGGUGUGCCUUAGGCAUGCAAGUCGGACGGGAUUUACACCUUCGGGUGUAAUGAGAGUGGCAGACGGGUGAGUAACGCGUAGAUAUCUACCUUAUAGUAAGGAAUAGCUCAUCGAAAGGUGGGGUAAUACCAUAUAGUUCCCUCAGGGGUAAAGGCUUCGGCCGCUAUAAGAGGAGUCUGCGUCCUAUCAGGCAGUUGGUGGGGUAAUGGCCUACCAAACCUAUGACGGGUAGCCGGUGUGAGAGCACGACCGGCCACAAGGUCACUGAGACACGGGACCUACAUCUACGGAUGGCAGCAACCGGGAAUUUUGCGCAAUGGGCGAAAGCCUGACGCAGCGACACCGCGUGUGGGAAGAAGUUCUUCGGAAUGUAAACUACUGUGGCGAGGGAAGAAGUAUGACUGUACCUCGCUAGAAAGCACCUGCUAACUACGUGCCAGAAGCCUCGGUAAUACGUAGGGUGCAAGCGUUAUCCGGAUUUACUGGGCGUAAAGAGUUCCGUCGGCGUCUUUAUAAGUUGCUUGUUUAAUCCUGUGGCUCAACCUCAGACCAGCAAGCAAAACUAUAAGGAUUGAGUCUGUUUGGAGAAGCUAGAAUUCUUGGUGGAGGGGUGAAAUCCGUAGAUAUCAAGAGGAAUACCAGUCGCGAAGGCGGGCUUCUAAAACAGCACUGACGCUCAGGGACGAAAGCUUGGGUAGCAAAAGGGAUUAGAGACCCCUGUAGUCCAAGCCGUAAACACUGUUCGCUAGUUGCCUGCUUUUCUUUGCAUAUUUUUAAUGCAAGUUAAAGAGUAUGCAGGGAAAAGUGGGUGACGUAAGGUAACCCGUUAAGCGAACCGCCUGGGGAGUACGACCGCAAGGUUAAAACUCAAAGGAAUUGAC
RNAcentral lists this ribosomal RNA (917 nucleotides) under Candidatus Pacebacteria bacterium CG_4_9_14_0_2_um_filter_36_8. Its description in RNAcentral is "bacterial SSU rRNA". It matches the Rfam family "Bacterial small subunit ribosomal RNA", at positions 1 to 914 of the family's 1533-position model. The record is from RNAcentral. Lineage: Bacteria; Bacillati; Minisyncoccota.